RNAcentral lists this long non-coding RNA (210 nucleotides) under Ananas comosus (pineapple). RNAcentral's name for it is "long non-coding RNA (ACOM_LNC043778)". Lineage: Eukaryota; Viridiplantae; Streptophyta; Magnoliopsida; Poales; Bromeliaceae. The record is from RNAcentral.
GUCAAUUCACAUGUCUCCGAAUAUGUUGGAUUAUGUAAAGCCAUUUUUCGAGUCCAUAUCGCGGUGAAAAUGUUGAGUACUUGAAACUUGAAGUUUUGAGUACCGGUAUUAAAGAGUACCUCAGCACUUGAAGCUUGAAUUUUUUUUUGUUUUGUGUACUGAUACGCAGUUUGAGUACCUGUCUUGACAUUACCGGUACUCAACUCCGCG